Molecule: ribosomal RNA, 268 nt
Filed under: uncultured bacterium
Lineage: Bacteria
Description: partial small subunit ribosomal RNA
Rfam family: Bacterial small subunit ribosomal RNA
Source: RNAcentral
AGAAUCAACGCUGGCGGCGUGCCUAACACAUGCAAGUCGAACGCGGUUACCUCGCAAGGGGUAACUGAGUGGCGAACGGGUGAGUAACGCGUGGGUGACCUACCUUCGAGCGGGGGAUAACGUCCCGAAAGGGACGCUAAUACCGCAUAACAUCCUGCUUUUGAACAGGCAGACAUCAAAGCUGGGGAUCGCAAGACCCGGCACUUGAAGCGGGGCCCGCGUCUGAUUAGCUAGUUGGUGAGGUAACGGCUCACCAAGGCGACGAUCA